UAGGGAAUCUUCCACAAUGGACGCAAGUCUGAUGGAGCAACGCCGCGUGGGUGAAGAAGGGUUUCGGCUCGUAAAGCUCUGUUGUUAAAGAAGAACGUGGGUAAGAGUAACUGUUUACCCAGUGACGGUAUUUAACCAGAAAGCCACGGCUAACUACGCGCCAA
Molecule: ribosomal RNA, 164 nt
Filed under: uncultured bacterium
Lineage: Bacteria
Description: partial 16S rRNA
Rfam family: Bacterial small subunit ribosomal RNA
Source: RNAcentral